RNAcentral lists this ribosomal RNA (502 nucleotides) under uncultured bacterium. RNAcentral's name for it is "partial 16S ribosomal RNA". It matches the Rfam family "Bacterial small subunit ribosomal RNA", at positions 29 to 523 of the family's 1533-position model. The record is from RNAcentral.
AUUGAACGCUGGCGGAAUGCUUUACACAUGCAAGUCGAACGGCAGCACGGGUGCUUGCACCUGGUGGCGAGUGGCGAACGGGUGAGUAAUACAUCGGAACGUACCCAGUCGUGGGGGAUAACGUAGCGAAAGUUACGCUAAUACCGCAUACGUCCUGAGGGAGAAAGCGGGGGACCGUAAGGCCACGCGCGAUUGGAGCGGCCGAUGGGGGAUGAGGUAGUUGGUGGGGUAAAGGGCUACCAAGGCGACGAUCCGUCGCGGGUCUGAGAGGACGGCCCGCCACACUGGAACUGAGACACGGUCCAGACUCCCACGGGAGGCAGCAGUGGGGAAUUUUGGACAAUGGGCGAAAGCCUGAUCCAGCCAUUCCGCGUGAGUGAAGAAGGCCUUCGGGUUGUAAAGCUCUUUCGGCAGGGAAGAAACGGCUUGGGAUAAUACCCCGGGCUAAUGACGGUACCUGAAGAAGAAGCACCGGCUAACUACGUGCCAGCCGCCGCCGUAA